UAAGCGCGCGUAGGUGGUUUGUUAAGUUGGAUGUGAAAGCCCCGGGCUCAACCUGGGAACUGCAUCCAAAACUGGCAAGCUAGAGUAUGGUAGAGGGUGGUGGAAUUUCCUGUGUAGCGGUGAAAUGCGUAGAUAUAGGAAGGAACACCAGUGGCGAAGGCGACCACCUGGACUGAUACUGACACUGAGGUGCGAAAGCGUGGGGAGCAAACAGGAUUAGAUACCCCAGU
This 230-nucleotide ribosomal RNA is filed under the name uncultured bacterium. Its description in RNAcentral is "partial 16S ribosomal RNA". It matches the Rfam family "Bacterial small subunit ribosomal RNA", at positions 563 to 791 of the family's 1533-position model. The record is from RNAcentral.